UACAGAGGGUGCAAGCGUUAAUCGGAAUUACUGGGCGUAAAGCGUGCGUAGUCGGUUAUUUAAGUCGGAUGUGAAAUCCCCGGGCUCAACCUGGGAAUUGCAUUCGAUACUGGAUGGCUAGAGUUCGGCAGAGGGAAGUGGAAUUUCUGGUGUAGCGGUGAAAUGCGUAGAUAUCAGAAGGAACACCGGUGGCGAAAGCGACUUCCUGGACCAAUACUGACGCUCAUGUGCGAAAGCGUGGGGAGCAAACAGG
RNAcentral lists this ribosomal RNA (253 nucleotides) under uncultured bacterium. Its description in RNAcentral is "partial 16S ribosomal RNA". It matches the Rfam family "Bacterial small subunit ribosomal RNA", at positions 524 to 776 of the family's 1533-position model. The record is from RNAcentral.